Molecule: ribosomal RNA, 492 nt
Filed under: uncultured bacterium
Lineage: Bacteria
Description: bacterial SSU rRNA
Rfam family: Bacterial small subunit ribosomal RNA
Source: RNAcentral
CGCUAGCUACAGGCUUAACACAUGCAAGUCGAGGGGCAGCAUGACCUAGCAAUAGGUUGAUGGCGACCGGCGCACGGGUGAGUAACACGUAUCCAACCUACCGGUUAUUCCGGGAUAGCCUUUCGAAAGAAAGAUUAAUACCGGAUAGUAUAGCGAGAAGGCAUCUUCUUGUUAUUAAAGAAUUUCGAUAACCGAUGGGGAUGCGUUCCAUUAGUUUGUUGGCGGGGUAACGGCCCACCAAGACAUCGAUGGAUAGGGGUUCUGAGAGGAAGGUCCCCCACAUUGGAACUGAGACACGGUCCAAACUCCUACGGGAGGCAGCAGUGAGGAAUAUUGGUCAAUGGACGAGAGUCUGAACCAGCCAAGUAGCGUGAAAGGAUGACUGCCCUAUGGGUUGUAAACUUCUUUUAUAUGGGAAUAAAGUGAGCCACGUGUGGCUUUUUUGUAUGUACCAUACGAAUAAGGAUCGGCUAACUCCGUGCCAGCAGCAGC